GAUGAACGCUGGCGGCGUGCCUAAUACAUGCAAGUCGAGCGAACAGACGAGGAGCUUGCUCCUCUGGCGUUAGCGGCGGACGGGUGAGUAACACGUGGAUAACCUACCUAUAAGACUGGGAUAACUUCGGGAAACCGGAGCUAAUACCGGAUAAUAUAUUGAACCGCAUGGUUCAAUAGUGAAAGACGGUUUUCUGUCACUUAUAGAUGGAUCCGCGCCGCAUUAGCUAGUUGGUAAGGUAACGGCUUACCAAGGCAACGAUGCGUAGCCGACCUGAGAGGGUGAUCGGCCACACUGGAACUGAGACACGGUCCAGACUCCUACGGGAGGCAGCAGUAGGGAAUCUUCCGCAAUGGGCGAAAGCUUGACGGAGCAACGCCGCGUGAGUGAUGAAGGUCUUCGGAUCGUAAAACUCUGUUAUUAGGGAAGAACAAAUGUGUAAGUAACUAUGCACGUCUUGACGGUACCUAAUCAGAAAGCCACGGCUAACUACGUG
RNAcentral lists this ribosomal RNA (496 nucleotides) under uncultured bacterium. RNAcentral describes it as "partial 16S ribosomal RNA". It matches the Rfam family "Bacterial small subunit ribosomal RNA", at positions 28 to 507 of the family's 1533-position model. The record is from RNAcentral.